RNAcentral lists this ribosomal RNA (2964 nucleotides) under Salmonella enterica. RNAcentral's name for it is "partial 23S ribosomal RNA". It matches the Rfam family "Bacterial large subunit ribosomal RNA". Lineage: Bacteria; Pseudomonadati; Pseudomonadota; Gammaproteobacteria; Enterobacterales; Enterobacteriaceae. The record is from RNAcentral.
GGUUAAGCGACUAAGCGUACACGGUGGAUGCCCUGGCAGUCAGAGGCGAUGAAGGGCGUGCUAAUCUGCGAUAAGCGCCGGUAAGGUGAUAUGAACCGUUAUAACCGGCGAUACCCGAAUGGGGAAACCCAGUGUGACUCGUCACACUAUCAUUAACUGAAUCCAUAGGUUAAUGAGGCGAACCGGGGGAACUGAAACAUCUAAGUACCCCGAGGAAAAGAAAUCAACCGAGAUUCCCCCAGUAGCGGCGAGCGAACGGGGAGGAGCCCAGAGCCUGAAUCAGCAUGUGUGUUAGUGGAAGCGUCUGGAAAGGCGCGCGAUACAGGGUGACAGCCCCGUACACAAAAGCGCAUGUGCUGUGAGCUCGAUGAGUAGGGCGGGACACGUGGUAUCCUGUCUGAAUAUGGGGGGACCAUCCUCCAAGGCUAAAUACUCCUGACUGACCGAUAGUGAACCAGUACCGUGAGGGAAAGGCGAAAAGAACCCCGGCGAGGGGAGUGAAAAAGAACCUGAAACCGUGUACGUACAAGCAGUGGGAGCCCCACCACCAAAGCAUUCUCUGGUGUUGAAGGCCCUGCAAAGCAGCAUCGCGGUGGCGGAGCGUCGUUUGCGACGCCCAACACACAAAACAAGCGGUGAAUGCUUUGGGGUGGGGUGACUGCGUACCUUUUGUAUAAUGGGUCAGCGACUUAUAUUCUGUAGCAAGGUUAACCGAAUAGGGGAGCCGGAGGGAAACCGAGUCUUAAUUGGGCGUUAAGUUGCAGGGUAUAGACCCGAAACCCGGUGAUCUAGCCAUGGGCAGGUUGAAGGUUGGGUAACACUAACUGGAGGACCGAACCGACUAAUGUUGAAAAAUUAGCGGAUGACCUGUGGCUGGGGGUGAAAGGCCAAUCAAACCGGGAGAUAGCUGGUUCUCCCCGAAAGCUAUUUAGGUAGCGCCUCGUGAAUUCAUCUCCGGGGGUAGAGCACUGUUUCGGCUAGGGGGCCAUCCCGGCUUACCAACCCGAUGCAAACUGCGAAUACCGGAGAAUGUUAUCACGGGAGACACACGGCGGGUGCUAACGUCCGUCGUGAAGAGGGAAACAACCCAGACCGCCAGCUAAGGUCCCAAAGUCAUGGUUAAGUGGGAAACGAUGUGGGAAGGCCCAGACAGCCAGGAUGUUGGCUUAGAAGCAGCCAUCAUUUAAAGAAAGCGUAAUAGCUCACUGGUCGAGUCGGCCUGCGCGGAAGAUGUAACGGGGCUAAACCAUGCACCGAAGCUGCGGCAGCGAACGUAUCACCCAAGACAACUUUACGGAGUUGACGAUUGACGGAGCGAAGCGACGUCAAAGCGUUCAUUAAAGUCGAGUUGGCUUAGGGAUACGUUCGUUGGGUAGGGGAGCGUUCUGUAAGCCUGUGAAGGUGUGUCGUGAGGCAUGCUGGAGGUAUCAGAAGUGCGAAUGCUGACAUAAGUAACGAUAAAGCGGGUGAAAAGCCCGCUCGCCGGAAGACCAAGGGUUCCUGUCCAACGUUAAUCGGGGCAGGGUGAGUCGACCCCUAAGGCGAGGCCGAAAGGCGUAGUCGAUGGGAAACGGGUUAAUAUUCCCGUACUUGGUGUUACUGCGAAGGGGGGACGGAGAAGGCUAUGUUGGCCGGGCGACGGUUGUCCCGGUUUAAGCGUGUAGGUGUGUGUUCCAGGUAAAUCCGGUUCACUUUAACACUGAGGCGUGACGACGAGGCACUACGGUGCUGAAGCAACAAAUGCCCUGCUUCCAGGAAAAGCCUCUAAGCAUCAGGUAACACGAAAUCGUACCCCAAACCGACACAGGUGGUCAGGUAGAGAAUACCAAGGCGCUUGAGAGAACUCGGGUGAAGGAACUAGGCAAAAUGGUGCCGUAACUUCGGGAGAAGGCACGCUGACACGUAGGUGAAGUGAUUUACUCAUGGAGCUGAAGUCAGUCGAAGAUACCAGCUGGCUGCAACUGUUUAUUAAAAACACAGCACUGUGCAAACACGAAAGUGGACGUAUACGGUGUGACGCCUGCCCGGUGCCGGAAGGUUAAUUGAUGGGGUCAGCGUAAGCGAAGCUCCUGAUCGAAGCCCCGGUAAACGGCGGCCGUAACUAUAACGGUCCUAAGGUAGCGAAAUUCCUUGUCGGGUAAGUUCCGACCUGCACGAAUGGCGUAAUGAUGGCCAGGCUGUCUCCACCCGAGACUCAGUGAAAUUGAACUCGCUGUGAAGAUGCAGUGUACCCGCGGCAAGACGGAAAGACCCCGUGAACCUUUACUAUAGCUUGACACUGAACAUUGAGCCUUGAUGUGUAGGAUAGGUGGGAGGCUUUGAAGUGUGGACGCCAGUCUGCAUGGAGCCGACCUUGAAAUACCACCCUUUAAUGUUUGAUGUUCUAACGUGGACCCGUAAUCCGGGUUGCGGACAGUGUCUGGUGGGUAGUUUGACUGGGGCGGUCUCCUCCUAAAGAGUAACGGAGGAGCACGAAGGUUGGCUAAUCCUGGUCGGACAUCAGGAGGUUAGUGCAAUGGCAUAAGCCAGCUUGACUGCGAGCGUGACGGCGCGAGCAGGUGCGAAAGCAGGUCAUAGUGAUCCGGUGGUUCUGAAUGGAAGGGCCAUCGCUCAACGGAUAAAAGGUACUCCGGGGAUAACAGGCUGAUACCGCCCAAGAGUUCAUAUCGACGGCGGUGUUUGGCACCUCGAUGUCGGCUCAUCACAUCCUGGGGCUGAAGUAGGUCCCAAGGGUAUGGCUGUUCGCCAUUUAAAGUGGUACGCGAGCUGGGUUUAGAACGUCGUGAGACAGUUCGGUCCCUAUCUGCCGUGGGCGCUGGAGAACUGAGGGGGGCUGCUCCUAGUACGAGAGGACCGGAGUGGACGCAUCACUGGUGUUCGGGUUGUCAUGCCAAUGGCACUGCCCGGUAGCUAAAUGCGGAAGAGAUAAGUGCUGAAAGCAUCUAAGCACGAAACUUGCCCCGA